This 390-nucleotide ribosomal RNA is filed under the name uncultured bacterium. RNAcentral's name for it is "bacterial SSU rRNA". It matches the Rfam family "Bacterial small subunit ribosomal RNA", at positions 29 to 417 of the family's 1533-position model. The record is from RNAcentral.
AUUGAACGCUGGCGGCAUGCUUUACACAUGCAAGUCGAACGGCAGCACGGGAGCUUGCUCCUGGUGGCGAGUGGCGAACGGGUGAGUAAUGCAUCGGAACGUACCCAGUAGUGGGGGAUAGCCCGGCGAAAGCCGGAUUAAUACCGCAUAUUUCCUGAGGGAGAAAGCGGGGGGACCUUCGGGCCUCGCGCUACUGGAGCGGCUGAUGUCGGAUUAGCUAGUUGGUGAGGUAAAGGCUCACCAAGGCGACGAUCCGUAGCUGGUCUGAGAGGAUGAUCAGCCACACUGGGACUGAGACACGGCCCAGACUCCUACGGGAGGCAGCAGGUGGGGAAUUUGGACAAUGGGGGCAACCCUGAUCCAGCCAUGCCGCGUGAGUGAAGAAGGCCU